This 73-nucleotide transfer RNA is filed under the name Bos taurus (domestic cattle). It matches the Rfam family "tRNA". From Rfam's summary of the family: Transfer RNA (tRNA) molecules are approximately 80 nucleotides in length. Their secondary structure includes four short double-helical elements and three loops (D, anti-codon, and T loops). RNAcentral also lists the same sequence under 1 other name. The record is from Rfam by way of RNAcentral. Lineage: Eukaryota; Metazoa; Chordata; Mammalia; Artiodactyla; Bovidae.
UCCCUGGUGGUCCAGUGGUUAAGACGCUGCACUUCCAGUGCAGGGGAUGUGGGUUUGAUCCCUGGUCAGGGAA